GUUUUACCUGUGGAUGUCCAAGCCUGGACACAGUUGGCUAGCCAUGUGAAGGAGGCCAUAGGGACAAUGUUUGGACAAUGACGAGGAACCAAGACUGGCAUCUAAGAGAGGGGAAGUGAAUCCCAUAUACUGUCCCAUGCCUGGAAAUGUCAGGUAUGUUUUUUUUCCCUGGGGCUGUGGGAGUAAAGGAAAGGUGAGUAUAUUGUGUCUAGUUGGAAGUUACUUUAGGUGACAAUGCUGAAUAGAGCCCAAGUAGGAUUUGUAUAUGGAUGGGGAGACUGAUCACUAUUGGGACUAGUUGGCCACUAAAGAUAGGGCCAGAUAUUUUUAGAGGCAUGCUCCAUUUUCCUUUUAAAGGCGCAGAAUGUUAUGAAGAAAUAUUUUUUAAAAGCUCAUAAAAAAAACCCC
Molecule: long non-coding RNA, 408 nt
Organism: Rana temporaria (common frog)
Lineage: Eukaryota; Metazoa; Chordata; Amphibia; Anura; Ranidae
Exons: 2
Source: RefSeq, a predicted model, not a curated record